AUGAUUUGGGAUUAGGUGAUGUUGACAGAGACCAUUUUGAGUGACAGGUUUAGAGUUUGAAGCUUCGAAGGAAAGAAAGUGGCCAAAUGAUGGAGACAGAUGGGGACCAAAAUCAGGGCUCUACCAAUGGAACCACUCCAUCAGGAGUGAACUCCCGCCCCUCUCCAAUGAACUCCAUGUCCCUGUACGAGAGACAGGCUGUGCAGGCCCUUCAGGCGCUGCAGAGGCAGCCCAACGCAGCGCAGUACUUCCAGCAGCUAAUGCUGCAGCAACAGAUCAACAGUGCCCAGCUACAAAACCUGGCUGCAGUACAACAGGCCACCUUUGCUGCCAGUCGCCAGUCCAGCCCUGCCACCAACAGCACCUCUCAGACCACCAGCACUACAGUCACAUCUGUGAACGUAACCACUUCUGGGGGAGGGGCCAUAACCAGCACCCGCGCUAUAGGCCCAGGCUCUUCCGGGACAUCCACCAUAAGCCAAUCAGUGCUGCUGGGUGGGAGUGCAGCAGGACAGGGACAGAUGUAUCUGAGAGUGAACCGGUCUCUGAGGGCUCCCCUCUCCUCACAACUCAUCUUUAUGCCUGGUAGCACGACAACCGCUGCCAUGGCAACGGUCACCCAGCAGCCACAGACUCAGCAGCAGCAACAACAGGAAGUUACACCUACUUCCUCCAGCAACCAAUCAGACAAUGACCAGGUGCAGAACCUGGCUUUGCGAUGUGUCGGCAGUCCCAAGGGGGUUGGGGUCAAGACUGAAACCCCAGAGAGGGGUGAAAUAGCAACCUACUCCCUUAUACAGUCAUCUCACCAGCAGUUCAACCAGUCCACUCAGCAGUCUCCCACUAAACCAACCCAACUGCAACAGUCCCACAUCAAGAUCCCCACCUACAUCCAGAGCUCCAACGCUAACCUCUCCUCUCUCAACCUCAAGACGGGCAACCACCACUCUAACACCCCCUCCUCACCCUCCACCUCUGUCCCACUCUCACAGCUCCUCCUUUCCGGACCCAACUUUGGCCGGGGCGGGGCUAUCACCACGGUGAACUCGGCCGCCGCGGCGACGCACAUUCUGGUGCCCACCUCCAGUGCACCCACUCAGUCCCACAGUUACCAGAUGGGUGCUGCCACCAUCAAGCCCAAUGUUAGUACUCAAACGCUGGUGGUUCAGCCUCUGCAGAAAAGCACUAUUAACGACAAGGGAGGCCAUGGGAACGGUCCCAUUCCAAUCCAGCCCAAAACUCAACAGGGUCUCCGUAUGCCACUGCAACUGCCCUCCCGCAACCCACCUCCCAUCCUCCCCGCGCCCCCCGCAAACAACCAGACUAGUGCCGCCCAGCCUCCACCGCACAUCCCAGUCCAGAUAGUAGGGGCCAGGCCAAGCUCCAUAGGAAACCCCCAGGCUUUGGCCUUGGUCCAGGCCCGGAACGCCUGUUCCCAGGACGGAGCUACUCUUCUAAAUAGCUCCAACAGCGCCAGCCUCCUCACCAUGGUGGCCUCCAUCGCAUCCAGAGAGAGAGGGGGUUUAGGCAAAGGGGUGGGUCUAAAGAGCCUUCAAUCAGCCCAGGAAGCCCUCUCAUUGGCCCACGUUUCUCACGUGCAAGCACAAGCCAAUCAGAGUCCUAGGCUGAAUCAAAAUCAAAAUUGCACCUUGGCCACCAGCAUCUCCUCUCAGUCCCAGGCCGCCAUCUCUCCUCCCACCCUCUCCCGUUCCUCCCUCACUCUACCCCUGCCGUUGGUUGAGGCGAGCAGUGCAUCCACUGUAGUGGCUGCCAAUGGAGAGUCUGUGUGUCCUCAGCCUCCCCAGGGUAAGUCGAUGAAGAGGAAAUCCGAGUCAGACGCAGCCAAUGAGGAAGAUGGUCCCCCCCCUCCCCACCUUGUUCCUAUGAGUGAACACUCCCCUGCUCUCUCCUCCUCCGCCAUGGAAGCAGGCACUGGUCCACCUUCUCCCUCCCCCGUUCCCUCUCCUUCCCCUGCCCUCUCAGUGUCCCGUGUGGGGGGUGGCCAGGGGGAGAGAGCCCCCCCUCCACAGGCUGUGGUCAAACCCCACGUCCUCACCCACCUCAUAGAGGGCUUCGUCAUCCAGGAGGGAGCUGAACCCUUCCCUGUGAGUGGGCCAGUGAAAGAGCCAGCUGGAGAAGAUUUGGCAAUGGACAAUCCAGACGCCAGUCAGCCUGAGACUGUGAAUACAGCUACAGUGCUGAAGUGUGAGUACUGCAAAAGCUUCGCCCCAGCCAGACAGUUUAGAGGGACCAAGCGCUUCUGCUCCUUGACCUGUUCCAAGAGGUAUAACGUGAGCUGCAGCCAGCACUUCCGCCUGCGACAGGGGCUUCACCUCACCCACUCUGACGAGGACGGAGUCCUGAGGAGGAGGGUUCCCCACAGGACCAGCUCCGAGAUCGCUAGUGCCAAAAUAGCCGGGAGACCCUUACCAGUCAAGUGCCGCUCCGAGUCCAGCCGUUCGGACGACAUCUCCAGUUGCGAGGAGGAAGAGGACGACCCCAUGUCCUUCUCCCCGGCCUCCUCCUCUUCCUGUCAUCAGCCUCCCCCCACACUCCGAUUGGAGGGCUCACCGGCGCCCCACUUCCUGCCCGGCAGCCCUGCCCAGUGGAGUGUGGAGGAAGUGUCUCAGUUCAUAUCAUCUCUGCAAGACUGUGAGGAGCUUGCGGCCCAUUUCCUGUCCCAGGAGAUUGAUGGACAGGCCCUGCUGCUGCUCAGAGAGGAGCAUCUCAUGUCCACCAUGAACAUCAAGCUCGGUCCCGCCCUCAAGAUCUGUGCCCACAUCAACAACCUGAAAGACUGAGGUACUUCUCAAUGUCCAGUGGCUCAGGCACUCGAAGAACUGUCCUAUUGUUGGCACUCUUCUCUCCUGACUGGAGCUUCUGGAUCACCUCAGCCAAUGUAGGGCGCUCGUGUGGAGCGAACUGGCCGCAGGACUUGAUUAUGGAAUACCUGAAAAAAGGUCUCCUUGCCAAUACUUCUGGAGCCUGCCACUUCCUCAUCUCAACGUUCUGCAGCUCUCCUGGAGCUCCUGCUUGUGUUUUCUUACAGUAUGCUGGACCCAAUCCCCACAGUUUAGCCGUUAGGUCUAGACCAACCAGCACGCUCCGAGCUCCAACGUUGCCAUGGAUACAGCUCUGACCGUGCAGACAAAAUGACAGAGAUGGAUGGAUCACUUGAUGUGUGGGAAGGAGAGCGAGAGGGAGAGACCAACCAGAGCAGAAGCCACUUGUCCUCCCAUGGUGAAGAUGCGCUGCUCUGUGAUGUCGCACGGGGACUCCACACCCGUGUCCUGCCAAGAAAGAGCACUGUGAGUUUCCUCUCACACUAUCACUAAGGAUCAUGUCCAUAUUCACUGUAGUCUACAUGAGUUACAGAGUGUUUGCUCAGCCUCUUGAGACCCACAUACAACUAGAAUUUUCAGGCAAACUGACGACAAUUUACGUAAAAGUUGUGCGGGCAGAUCUCUAGUUUGGGCCGUUUCCUAACAUAUCAGGGUAGUGUUCAGUAUACUCCAGUCCGUAGCAAAACAUUGGUGAAACAAUAAUCUCUCUUUGGACAAGUUCAAGCCGGUUACCUCUCCAUUUCACUCUGUUUAAAACAGUGUUCUCCCUACUGAACACCCCCAGCUAUUUGGUAACUUACAGUAGGAAUACCCACAGAGAUAGAUCGAGGACUCAUUGUGGAUUUAAGCCGUUUUAGCAUGGACAUUGCUAUUGAGGGCUUCUAUCGUGCUUCCGCCAUUUUCAAGUAAUAAAUUGGCUGGGGAUUCCUAUGGGUUGCAGCCUCAAUGAUGCUGCCCAUGUCACUGACGCUAUAAUGGCACAGAUAUAACGAUGAGUCCUCUAUCUAACUCUAUGGGAGGACCAUACCUGUCGACACCUCCAUAGGAACCCCAGCAGGUCCCUGUGCACCAGUUCCUCCAUCACGGUGAUGAGGGGGGUACGUAGGGAGACCACGCCCAUCAGACCAGGCAAAAAGGGGUGGGGCCCCAGCUCAGACAGGAAGGAGGCAAAGCCCAGGAAGGACUGCCGCUCGCUGUCAUCGGCUUUUUCUGGGGUGAGAAAGGGUACACGUUGAGAUGAACUACAUUGCUGUCGGACUGCGUAGAAUCACUGAUCUACAAAUAACUAUUCCUUAUACUAUCAAGAUUAGAGAUUCUACACCUUGCCUUGCUUAAACUGAUCUUAAACUGUUGUAUGUUUUUGUCCUUUAUCUGGCAGUAGGCUACUCAUGGGAAAGUUAGUCCGUUUUGUUAUGGGUUGGACUAGGUCUUUUGAUUUGCAUAUCGAGUUAAAGAUCACAAGAUUUCAUAGUAACACAAAGACAAGAGACAACAUCCCCAAGAUUUCAGGUUUUAUACUCUUAUAAGCCUCAAGGUCUUUACAAUGCACUGAGUGUCCGUCUCUGGAUGGGAGCGUCGAUUUGACCAUUCCAAUGAAUAUCAAAGCGUGUUACCUUUAAGUGUCCGUAGAACCACGUCUCUGUUGUCCAUCCUUGCCCUGUAGAGGGUGACAGAGUCGUCCGGUUUGACGGGGAAGGAGAGGGGCAACGGAGUGACCAGGUUGAAAGAGCCAUGCUGUCUCUCUCUGGCCGUCUCCGGUAUGGCAGACCACGUGGCAAGAGCGUCACGCCGGGUCGGGGUGCUCAUAGGUAACUCCUCCUGCUCCAGAGGGUUCAGCUCAGGAGGAGCUGCAGGUAAUGAGAUGGGUAUUGCACAUAUAUCAAAUCAAGUACUACUUAAGUCGUUUUUUUGGGGUAUCUGUACUUUACUAUUUAUGUUUUUUAAACUUUUCUUUUACUUCACCAUUCCUAAAGAAAAUAAGGUACUUUUUACUCCAUACAUUUUCCCCGACACCCAAAAGUAACAGGAAAGGGGUCCAAUUCACACACUCAAAAGAAAAUCCCUACUGCCUCUGAUCUGGUGGACUCACUAAACACACAUGCUUGGUUGUAAAUGAUGUCUGAGUGUUGGAGUGUGCCCCUGGCUAUCCGUAAAUAAAUAACAAACAAGGAAA
Oncorhynchus nerka (sockeye salmon) is the source of this 5016-nucleotide RNA transcript. It is a transcript of the gene named polyhomeotic-like protein 1, with no coding region annotated. The transcript has 18 exons. The record is from RefSeq and is a predicted model, not a curated record. Lineage: Eukaryota; Metazoa; Chordata; Actinopteri; Salmoniformes; Salmonidae.